AAGAACUAAUUACUUUUG
RNAcentral lists this small nuclear RNA (18 nucleotides) under Arabidopsis thaliana (thale cress). RNAcentral describes it as "snRNA_15127". Lineage: Eukaryota; Viridiplantae; Streptophyta; Magnoliopsida; Brassicales; Brassicaceae. The record is from RNAcentral.